GCGUGCUGGCCUCGCCGCUGUGGACUGUGCCCUCGUGUGCGUGGACUGUGCUUCAUACCAGCCUCUAUCAGCCGCCGCCGCCGCCGCGCCGCCCUGCACACCUGCCACCAAUAUUACCACCACCACCAUCACCACCUCCACCACACCCCACACGCACAGGCGGCUGUGUGAGCACCAGACCUCCGUCAGUAGUGUAGUAGCAGCCAGCCGGCACCGCCUGCACUUCCCAAGUGUCCCAGGGUCAUGGCUCUCAUCACAGAGGUCCGCCCCCACCUGUACCACUACCCCGCCCUCAGCCAGGACUGUAUGGCGCGGGUGUGACAAGCCAGCAGCAGGAUGGCGGGGAUUUAUGCGCUCCUCAAACAUUAAUGUGAGACUAAGGUGGACUUGUAUGGUGGUGCUGCCGCGACUCAUGGCUGCUCGUGGUUCAUGAGGACAUUAGAUGAACCGCCCGAUUCAAGUUAAACCGGCCGACAGUGAGAGUCGAGCAGGUAA
RNAcentral lists this long non-coding RNA (495 nucleotides) under Homarus americanus (American lobster). RNAcentral's name for it is "uncharacterized LOC121868795, transcript variant X2". Lineage: Eukaryota; Metazoa; Arthropoda; Malacostraca; Decapoda; Nephropidae. The record is from RNAcentral.